CCUCGUUGAUCCUGCCAGUAGUCAUAUGCUUGCCUCAAAGAUUAAGCCAUGCAUGUGUAAGUAUGAACUAGUUCAGAUUAUGAAACUACGAAUGCCUCAUUAAAUCAGUUAUAGUUUGUUUGAUGGUAUCUGCUACUUGGAUAACUGUAGUAUUUCUAGAGCUAAUACAAUCAACAAACACCAACUUUUGGAAGGGAUGCAUUUAUUAAAUAAAAGGUCGACGCGGGCUCUGUUACUCUGACGAUUCAUAAUAACUCGAUGGAUCGCACGGGCAUCGUGCUGACGACGCAUCAUUCCAAUUUCUUCCCUAUCAACUUUCGAUGGCAGGAUAGUGGCCUACUUUGGUCGUGCUGGGUGAUGGGUGAUGUUGAGGGUUCGAUUCCGGUAGGGAGCCUGAGAAACGACUACCACAUCCAAGGAAGGUAGCAUGCGCGUAAAUUACCCAAUCUUGACACGGGGAGGUAGUGACAAUAAAUAAUAAUACCGGGCUCUUAGAGUCUGGUAAUUGGAAUGAGUACAAUCUAAGUCCCUUAACGAGGAUCCAUUGGUGGGCAAGUCUGGUGCCAGCAGCCACGGUAAUUCCAGCUCAAAUAGCGUAUAUUUAAGUUGUUGCAGUUACAAAUCUUAUAGUUGGACCUUGGGUUGGCUCAAUCGGUCCACCUAUGAUGUGCACCAGUUGGCUCAUCCCUUCGAUCGGCGAUGCGCUCCUGGCCUUAAGUGGCUAGGUCUUUCCUUCACUAUUGUUACUUUGAAGAAAUUAGAGUGCUCAAAGUAAGCCUACAAUUUGUAUACAUUAGCAUGGGAUAACAUCAUAGGAUUUUGAUCCUAUUUUGUUGGCCUUCAAGGUCGGAGUAAUGAUUAAUAGGGACAGUUAGGGGCAUUCGUAUUUCAUAGUCAAAGGUGAAAUUCUUGAAUUUAUGAAAGACGAUCAACUACGAAAACGUUUACAAAUGAUUUUUUCAUUAAUCAAGAAUGAAAGUUGAGGGCUCGAAGACGAUCAGAUACCGUCCUAGUCACAACAAUAAACGAUGCUGACCAGUGAUCGGUGGAUGUUACUUUUAGAACACCGCUAGCACCUUAUGAAAAAUCGAAGUCUUUAGGUCCCGGGGGGAGUAUGGUCGCAUGGCUGAAACUUAAAAGAAUUGAUGGAAUGGCACCACCAGGAGUGGAGCUUGCUGCUUAAUUUGACUCAACAUGGGAAAACUUACCAGGUCCUGACAUAGUAAGGCUUGACAGACUGAGGCUCUUUCUUGAUUCUAUGGGUGGUGGUGCAUGGCCGUUCUUAUUGGUGGAGCGAUUUAUCUGGUGAAUUUUGUUAACGAACGAGACCUCAGCCUGCUAACUAGCUAUGCGGAGGUGACCCACCGCAGUCAUCUUCUUAGAGGGACUAUGGCCGCUUAGGCCGAGGAAGUUUGAGUCAAUAACAGGUCCGUGAUGCCCAUAGAUUUUCUGGGUCGCACGCGCGCUACAAUGAUGUAUUCAAUGAGUAUAUAACCCUCGCCGACAGGCCCGGGAAAUCUUUAAAAUUUCAUCGUGAUAGGGAUAGAUCAUUGCAAUUGUUUGUCUUCAACGAGGAAUUCCUAGUAAGUGCAAGUCAUCAACUCACGUUGACUACGUCCCUGCCCUUUGUACACACCGCCUGAUGCUCCUACCGAUUGAAUUGUUCGGUGAAGUGAUCGUAUCGCGGUGACGUGAGAGGUUCGCUGCCCGCGAUGUCGUGAGAAGUCCAUUGAACGUGAUCAUUUAGAGGAAGGAGAAGUCGUAUCAAGGUUUUCGUAGGUGAACCUGCGGAAG
This 1794-nucleotide ribosomal RNA is filed under the name Datisca glomerata. RNAcentral's name for it is "SSU rRNA". It matches the Rfam family "Eukaryotic small subunit ribosomal RNA". Lineage: Eukaryota; Viridiplantae; Streptophyta; Magnoliopsida; Cucurbitales; Datiscaceae. The record is from RNAcentral.